RNAcentral lists this ribosomal RNA (278 nucleotides) under Glomeromycota sp. RNAcentral describes it as "partial small subunit ribosomal RNA". It matches the Rfam family "Eukaryotic small subunit ribosomal RNA", at positions 569 to 853 of the family's 1831-position model. Lineage: Eukaryota; Fungi; Glomeromycota. The record is from RNAcentral.
AGCAGCCGCGGUAAUUCCAGCUCCAAUAGCGUAUAUUAAAGUUGUUGCAGUUAAAAAGCUCGUAGUUGAAUUUCGGGAUUUUAUCGUUGGUCAGGCUAUUGUUUGUACUGGCGUAUAGAAUUUCUACCUUCUGGGGAACUAUCAUGUUAUUAAUUUAGCGUGGUAGGAAACCAGGACCUUUACCUUGAAAAAAUUAGAGUGUUCAAAGCAGGCUUAUGUCUGAAUACAUUAGCAUGGAAUAAUAAAAUAGGACGGUGGUCCUGUUUUGUUGGUUUCUG